This 254-nucleotide ribosomal RNA is filed under the name uncultured bacterium. Its description in RNAcentral is "partial 16S ribosomal RNA". It matches the Rfam family "Bacterial small subunit ribosomal RNA", at positions 524 to 776 of the family's 1533-position model. The record is from RNAcentral.
UACGUAGGGACCAAGCGUUGUUCGGAUUUACUGGGCGUAAAGGGCGCGUAGGCGGCGCGGUAAGUCACUUGUGAAAUCUCUGAGCUUAACUCAGAACGGCCAAGUGAUACUGCAGUGCUAGAGUGUGGAAGGGGCAAUCGGAAUUCUUGGUGUAGCGGUGAAAUGCGUAGAUAUCGAGAGGAACACCUGAGGUGAAGACGGGUUGCUGGGCCGACACUGACGCUGAGUGCGCGAAAGCCAGGGGAGCAAACGAG